AUAUUGGACAAUGGGCGGAAGCCUGAUCCAGCGACGCCGCGUGUGUGAAGAAGGCCUGCGGGUUGUAAAGCACUUUUAGUGGGGAUGAAAAGCUCAGACCUAACACGUCUGGGUCUUGACCUAACCCACAGAAAAAGCACCGGCUAACUCUGUGCCAGCAGCCGCGGUAAUACAGAGGGUGCGAGCGUUAAUCGGAAUUACUGGGCGUAAAGCGUGCGUAGACGGUUAUAGAAGUCGGGUGUGAAAGCCCCGGGCUCAACCUGGGAAUUGCAUUCGAGACUGUAUAGCUAGGGUACGGAAGAGGGAAGUGGAAUUUCCGGUGUAGCGGUGAAAUGCGUAGAUAUCGGAAGGAACACCAGUGGCGAAAGCGACUUCCUGGUCCAGUACCGACGUUCAGGCACGAAAGCGUGGGGAGCAAACAGG
Molecule: ribosomal RNA, 423 nt
Filed under: uncultured bacterium
Lineage: Bacteria
Description: bacterial SSU rRNA
Rfam family: Bacterial small subunit ribosomal RNA
Source: RNAcentral